RNAcentral lists this ribosomal RNA (2791 nucleotides) under Escherichia coli. RNAcentral describes it as "bacterial LSU rRNA". It matches the Rfam family "Bacterial large subunit ribosomal RNA". Lineage: Bacteria; Pseudomonadati; Pseudomonadota; Gammaproteobacteria; Enterobacterales; Enterobacteriaceae. The record is from RNAcentral.
UUAAGCGACUAAGCGUACACGGUGGAUGCCCUGGCAGUCAGAGGCGAUGAAGGACGUGCUAAUCUGCGAUAAGCGUCGGUAAGGUGAUAUGAACCGUUAUAACCGGCGAUUUCCGAAUGGGGAAACCCAGUGUGAUUCGUCACACUAUCAUUAACUGAAUCCAUAGGUUAAUGAGGCGAACCGGGGGAACUGAAACAUCUAAGUACCCCGAGGAAAAGAAAUCAACCGAGAUUCCCCCAGUAGCGGCGAGCGAACGGGGAGCAGCCCAGAGCCUGAAUCAGUGUGUGUGUUAGUGGAAGCGUCUGGAAAGGCGCGCGAUACAGGGUGACAGCCCCGUACACAAAAAUGCACAUGCUGUGAGCUCGAUGAGUAGGGCGGGACACGUGGUAUCCUGUCUGAAUAUGGGGGGACCAUCCUCCAAGGCUAAAUACUCCUGACUGACCGAUAGUGAACCAGUACCGUGAGGGAAAGGCGAAAAGAACCCCGGCGAGGGGAGUGAAAAAGAACCUGAAACCGUGUACGUACAAGCAGUGGGAGCACGCUUCGGCGUGUGACUGCGUACCUUUUGUAUAAUGGGUCAGCGACUUAUAUUCUGUAGCAAGGUUAACCGAAUAGGGGAGCCGAAGGGAAACCGAGUCUUAACUGGGCGUUAAGUUGCAGGGUAUAGACCCGAAACCCGGUGAUCUAGCCAUGGGCAGGUUGAAGGUUGGGUAACACUAACUGGAGGACCGAACCGACUAAUGUUGAAAAAUUAGCGGAUGACUUGUGGCUGGGGGUGAAAGGCCAAUCAAACCGGGAGAUAGCUGGUUCUCCCCGAAAGCUAUUUAGGUAGCGCCUCGUGAAUUCAUCUCCGGGGGUAGAGCACUGUUUCGGCAAGGGGGUCAUCCCGACUUACCAACCCGAUGCAAACUGCGAAUACCGGAGAAUGUUAUCACGGGAGACACACGGCGGGUGCUAACGUCCGUCGUGAAGAGGGAAACAACCCAGACCGCCAGCUAAGGUCCCAAAGUCAUGGUUAAGUGGGAAACGAUGUGGGAAGGCCCAGACAGCCAGGAUGUUGGCUUAGAAGCAGCCAUCAUUUAAAGAAAGCGUAAUAGCUCACUGGUCGAGUCGGCCUGCGCGGAAGAUGUAACGGGGCUAAACCAUGCACCGAAGCUGCGGCAGCGACGCUGAUGCGUUGUUGGGUAGGGGAGCGUUCUGUAAGCCUGUGAAGGUGUGCUGUGAGGCAUGCUGGAGGUAUCAGAAGUGCGAAUGCUGACAUAAGUAACGAUAAAGCGGGUGAAAAGCCCGCUCGCCGGAAGACCAAGGGUUCCUGUCCAACGUUAAUCGGGGCAGGGUGAGUCGACCCCUAAGGCGAGGCCGAAAGGCGUAGUCGAUGGGAAACAGGUUAAUAUUCCUGUACUUGGUGUUACUGCGAAGGGGGGACGGAGAAGGCUAUGUUGGCCGGGCGACGGUUGUCCCGGUUUAAGCGUGUAGGCUGGUUUUCCAGGCAAAUCCGGAAAAUCAAGGCUGAGGCGUGAUGACGAGGCACUACGGUGCUGAAGCAACAAAUGCCCUGCUUCCAGGAAAAGCCUCUAAGCAUCAGGUAACAUCAAAUCGUACCCCAAACCGACACAGGUGGUCAGGUAGAGAAUACCAAGGCGCUUGAGAGAACUCGGGUGAAGGAACUAGGCAAAAUGGUGCCGUAACUUCGGGAGAAGGCACGCUGAUAUGUAGGUGAAGUCCCUCGCGGAUGGAGCUGAAAUCAGUCGAAGAUACCAGCUGGCUGCAACUGUUUAUUAAAAACACAGCACUGUGCAAACACGAAAGUGGACGUAUACGGUGUGACGCCUGCCCGGUGCCGGAAGGUUAAUUGAUGGGGUUAGCGCAAGCGAAGCUCUUGAUCGAAGCCCCGGUAAACGGCGGCCGUAACUAUAACGGUCCUAAGGUAGCGAAAUUCCUUGUCGGGUAAGUUCCGACCUGCACGAAUGGCGUAAUGAUGGCCAGGCUGUCUCCACCCGAGACUCAGUGAAAUUGAACUCGCUGUGAAGAUGCAGUGUACCCGCGGCAAGACGGAAAGACCCCGUGAACCUUUACUAUAGCUUGACACUGAACAUUGAGCCUUGAUGUGUAGGAUAGGUGGGAGGCUUUGAAGUGUGGACGCCAGUCUGCAUGGAGCCGACCUUGAAAUACCACCCUUUAAUGUUUGAUGUUCUAACGUUGACCCGUAAUCCGGGUUGCGGACAGUGUCUGGUGGGUAGUUUGACUGGGGCGGUCUCCUCCUAAAGAGUAACGGAGGAGCACGAAGGUUGGCUAAUCCUGGUCGGACAUCAGGAGGUUAGUGCAAUGGCAUAAGCCAGCUUGACUGCGAGCGUGACGGCGCGAGCAGGUGCGAAAGCAGGUCAUAGUGAUCCGGUGGUUCUGAAUGGAAGGGCCAUCGCUCAACGGAUAAAAGGUACUCCGGGGAUAACAGGCUGAUACCGCCCAAGAGUUCAUAUCGACGGCGGUGUUUGGCACCUCGAUGUCGGCUCAUCACAUCCUGGGGCUGAAGUAGGUCCCAAGGGUAUGGCUGUUCGCCAUUUAAAGUGGUACGCGAGCUGGGUUUAGAACGUCGUGAGACAGUUCGGUCCCUAUCUGCCGUGGGCGCUGGAGAACUGAGGGGGGCUGCUCCUAGUACGAGAGGACCGGAGUGGACGCAUCACUGGUGUUCGGGUUGUCAUGCCAAUGGCACUGCCCGGUAGCUAAAUGCGGAAGAGAUAAGUGCUGAAAGCAUCUAAGCACGAAACUUGCCCCGAGAUGAGUUCUCCCUGAC